This is a long non-coding RNA of Falco peregrinus (peregrine falcon), 1660 nucleotides long. RefSeq lists it as uncharacterized. The transcript has 2 exons. Lineage: Eukaryota; Metazoa; Chordata; Aves; Falconiformes; Falconidae. The record is from RefSeq and is a predicted model, not a curated record.
CAUGGGCUGCAACUUCAUGGUCCACAGUGCCAUACAACCACAGAAAAGAGAGGUGUUGGCUGUGCAAGCUAAGAGAAAUGUGACAGUCAGCUGGCAAACAUGAGCUCUCUCCUCCCAGGGAUAAUUAAGGGUUUUCUUCACAUCCCUUUGCCACCAAAGGCUUUUCUCCAUCUGGGACUGGGCCCUUUGUAUUAGAGUGUUUGGGGUCUCCCCAAACUCUGGAGAUCUCUUUGGACUUCUUCUGUCCAAAUAAUUGUUGGCUGCUGAAUUGGCCUCUGAUUUAACCAGCUGACUGACUUAAAAAACUGAUGGUUUUUUGUCUUUCUGUCCCCACCGCUGUCUCUUGCAAUGGGCUUGGAGCAGCAGUCACAGCUGCUUCAGUUAUCUCUGAAGCGAUUUGCUCGUCUCAGGUCCUCCAGGAGCAUCUCCCCAGGGGCGCCAUUUGCUGACAGUGAACAGUACUGAUUUCCCCAGCUGACCAAAAAAUGUGGUGAGACCAGAGUAGCUCCAGCACUCACACCCUCAGCACCAAGCAGGUAGGAGCCGUUGGAGGAUUCUGUGGUCCCUCCAGCCACCAGCCAGCUGGUGCUGAUCCCAGAACAUCUCAAAGUCUUUGAGGAGUUAGCAGCACAUGUUAGAGGAACAAGUUUCUCAUGAGUAAAAAGAAAACAAGACAUGAUAACAUCCAGAAGAGGUGAUGGUGUAGUUCUGUUCAGGAUUCAUGGAUUGCCAGGCUUGUGACCUCCUGAGCACUGCUCCUAACCUUCAGAAAUGUUGCUAUCAGUUCCCUGCUGCAGUGACUGCCAAAUAGAGAAGGCAGGAAGAAUUAAUUGCCGUGUUGUUAUUUGAGCUGCAGUAAAUUUUCCCUGUGCAGAGACAAAGAAGAGAAAUAAGCCAGUGGCUCAGUCUGUCCCAUCCCGUUGACACAUUCAGCCCUUGCUGUUGUAACCUGCAGAUCCAGCCUGGCUGAUCAUGGUCCAGGGGGUGUCCCUGGGUUUAUUCUUGUGGAUGGAUCACUGGAGACAUCAGCUUCUUUGGGAGUGAUUUAUGAUCAGGCGGAGCACAGUGAAUCUGACCAUGGAAGAGGGUUUACCUGUGCAGCAGUCCAGCACAAGGUCUUAUUUAGCUGUCAGCUUUUGCUUGAAAUGCACAAGCACAAGGUCUCAGCCCAGCAGCUGCCUGGUUUGCUGUCAUGACUUGGUCCCAGCACCAGAGCAUCACCACAGGAGACAAAGCAAAUGAGAGCCAGGCAGCUGUCUUGCAACCCCAUGGUACAAAUGCAGAACCAGGCAUGGAAGGAUUGCCAGUCGAGUUUCCAAAGCUCCUGGCAUCCCUCUGCAUCUCCCCGGUGAGAGCCCUGGGACAGCCUGAUGCCAAAGUGUCCGGGAUUCCUGCUGCUUUGACUGAAAUAAGGUCAGACAAGAGGCCAAUGCACAUGAAACUGAGACUGAUCCCAGGUGACCUAAAUGCUGGAACCUAUAAACAUCCUAUAACCAAUAUAACCAGUCCUAUAACCACUAGAUACCCCUGCUGCACCACCCCCAGAUCUGAAGCCCAAGGGUGUACCUAGAGCUUCUUCGACUCUUUCUGCACCAGAGUCAACUGAAUCAUGGCAAAGAUUUUAUACUAGUUGUUGAAUAAACCAGACAGGAUUGCUGCU